RNAcentral lists this signal recognition particle RNA (267 nucleotides) under Candidatus Hydrogenedentota bacterium. RNAcentral's name for it is "signal recognition particle sRNA large type". It matches the Rfam family "Bacterial large signal recognition particle RNA". From Rfam's summary of the family: The signal recognition particle (SRP) is a universally conserved ribonucleoprotein involved in the co-translational targeting of proteins to membranes. Archaeal SRP consists of a 7S RNA and homologues of the eukaryotic SRP19 and SRP54 proteins. In most bacteria, the SRP consists of a 4.5S RNA and the Ffh protein (a homologue of the eukaryotic SRP54 protein). The record is from RNAcentral. Lineage: Bacteria; Pseudomonadati; Candidatus Hydrogenedentota. RNAcentral also lists the same sequence under 2 other names.
CCGCGCUAGACGGGAAGUUAGCGGUGUCCUGCACUCGCAAUCCGCUUUAGCGAGGUCGAAUUCCCACCCGAGGGCGUCUUACCUUUUGGUCAGGCGCGGGGUACGAGGCGCUGACGGCUGGGUCCUACUCAACGGGAAGCUGCUGAACCCGGUCAGGUCCUGACGGAAGCAGCCGCAGGCGGUUCUUCUCGUGUGCUGUAGGGACGCCUGGCCCGAGUCAACGGCCCCGUGGCCGCUCUGGGUAAGCGUUCGACGGUGGGUGCGCGG